GGCGAUGAAGUACUAGUAGUACAUGGUCCUUCCGAAGGAAAACCCCCUAGCAUAUACUAGCGUGUAGUGCGCGGCGGCACGCCGCGCCACAUGGAUUGAUAAGUUAUUUAUUUAUUUUUGUAAUUUUUGGUAAGUCGUCUCAAGGCUUAAUUCACGACAAAUAGUUAUUUGUUUUUUUUUUGUAAUUUUUGGUAAGUCGUCUCAAGGCUUAAUUCACGGCAAAUUAGUUAUUUGUUUUUUUUUGGUAAUUUUUGGUAAGUCGUCUCAAGGCUUAAUUCACGACAAAGUAGUUCAUAUAAGAAAAGGGUGUAUGCAUAAGUGAUCUACAGUAGGUGGGAAAAGGGUGCAUCUAGUCUAGGCGGUAUAUGCAUAAGUGAUCUACAGUACGUGGUGAUACUGGCUACUGGAUACAAAAUUGCAAAGCUCUAGUUCUUUUCUUAGACCUGAGGUUAGCUAAAAAAAGGAUUGUUCUUCGUUAACAAAUAGAAGAUGAUGCCAACAAUGAGGCUGUUUCAAGACCUCAUUUAUUUAAUCACUACCGGUCAGUUUUCAUACUACAUAUAUACUGGGAAACACUCAAGAAGACCACAUGUGCAACUUUAACACAGCUUCCUGGAACAAUCAACUGUCUUUUUAGAGAAUUCAUUAGCAUGGAUGAUAUACAAUGCGCCAAAUCCAUAACAGCUCGGCUUCAUGGAACAAUCAACUGUCCUUUUAGAGAAUUAAUUAGCACGGAUGAUGUCCGAUCAGCACGAUGUAUGCAAACAUUUGAGUUGCUUUAAUAUCAGGAUUGAAAUCUGUAGAAAUCCAUGUGACCAGACCACACUAUCUAAGGACCAAGGAAAAUCUCAUGAUAAAAUUGUCAGCUUUAUGUAAGAUAGCAAUGAUGCUAGAAAUGGGAAGUUCGAGGGGCCUAAGUUUUAUACUGAUAACGCAUGGCAUGCCACUCUAUACUUAAAUCUCAGGCCAUUAGAACCUUAGAAACACGGAAAAUCCCUUGUGGCCUCAAGAAAACAAUCAAGUAUGAAAGAAAAAAGAAAGAAAAUAGAAAGAAAAUAGACGGAGUAUAUAAUUAGCAACCUUCCAAAAUAAAAUACGAUAAAUGACAUGGAGAAGGCACAAGUUCACUUAGAUUUGUAGGUACUUCCGUUUAGAAAAGGAAUUGUACAAACUAAUUGCUAGAGCAGCAAUGAAGCAGUGAACAAAAAAAAGAAAAGAUUGUAGGAAGUUCCACAUAAUAAGCAACCUUGAGAUAGAGAUGACAAAAGGCUGAAACGACCUUGGCUCCCAGAAGUUGUGUAGGGUGUGGUCGUUUUUUCUCUGAGUGCAAGAAAGCAAAGAAAAUAAUAAUUCUGAAGUUACCCAAAUAUCCACGAUAGGGUUAUUUACUGGCAGUAAUUGGUAUUGAAAAGGUAGGCGCUAAGUAGCUCUCUAAUAUAUAUUUUGUUUGGAGAAUCUUAUAGGAAAUGUUGGUCUAUGCUCUUUACUAUUUAACCAGAGCAUGAUUAUUAUAAACAAAAAAAGGUACAUGCAUAUUAGACAAUGUGAAUCAGUAGGCACUGAAUUGGAAGCAUGAUUAACAAGGGAGAAAGUGAAGUCCUGUUAUGCAGUUGUUAGUUGGUAGUUGAGCAGUUUUAACAUGCUCCCCCUUAUCUCUUUUUUUCACAUGAGAGAUAAGAGCAUAUAAUAGAUCUGACCCGUUGAUCUCAUUAAUUGGUGGUCUGAUUAACUCUUACCUUCUUACCUGACAUGUAAAAAGCUGGGGUAAGAGGGAGCAUGUUAAAAUUUGCCUAGCUGGUAAUCAGGAGCUAGAAUGAUUUACAAAAGGAGAUGUAUAGCCAGUUCAAGCAUUUAGGAAUCAGUGGAUACUCAACUGUAAGCAUGAUCCAUAGGAGAGAAAGCAGUCAGAUUAUGCAACCAUUCAUUGAUAAUUAAUGACCGGUACGUUUGUAAGCAGCUCUGUUUAGUAAGAACAGAUCUUGUGAGCUCAAGAGACCAAACUGCUACAGUCCAAUUUCUAAAGCAUUUCUUGCAAAAGAAAAUACAAACAAUACUGCUAAAAACAUAAAGUCAUUGUGCCAAUAUCUCCUACAAAGAUCAAAUGGGGAAAUAGGUACGGGGGAAAUUUAAGUGGUUCUUGAAUAAGAAGGAAUUUCUCAUCUGUUUUGCCAAAUUGCACUGCAUGUAAAGUUAUGCCCAAAAUGUUAUGCUUGACUCGGGAAUAAUGUAGUGCAGCAGUAUAUUGCCAAUAAAUCAUGCUCAAUUGUACUGGAAGCCAAUAUACUCCACAAGACACAUCUCGUCAGAACUAAAGUUCCAAAUGUACAUAGACAUCAAGCUGUAGCAUUUCCUCGGUACGUCAGUAAUGCACAUCAAGUGCUUAUGUGUUUGAACAGCAUGCGAAAUUAAAAUAGAAUUCCUACCAGGAAAUGGAACACAACGUAAUGAAUAGAUCAAGAAUAAAAACGAUUUACCAUGCUAUAUUAGAGAUGUAGGUCAUGAAUUUCUUGCACAUACGGACAGGAGCUGGAUCUCAAAAUCCAUGUCCUCCCCACAGACUUGCACACAUACCUGGUAAACCUUCCGUUUAGACUAAUAAUCAGUUAGGUAUACAAUUUUCUGUACUAUAUGCACCCACCUUUCUGAUCUGAACUUGUAAGCAAUGACAGUUCAUCUCCUUGUAAAACAAAACCUUUCUGCAACGACAUAUCAAACCAAGAGCAAAAAAACCUCCCACAUGUUUUUUCCCUUACAUCAGUAAAAACAGAAGUCUACAUAAUACAAACUAUCAUCUAAUCUAGUAAUAAUUAUGGUGUGUAUAGUUAUAUAGAUUUGAACAGUGGAUGUGAAAAAGAACAAAAAGAGGAGCAUAUCUUAGUGGUGUUGCUACUGCCAACAAAGUGACGACCAACUGGAGAGCUACCGCCUGAGAGUUGCUAGCUCGCUGCUUGCCGAGUGAGUGACAGAGGAGGAGUCGAGAGCUCGUGGGGAAAGAAGGGGCGAAACACUGCAGCAGCUCGCUGUUGGCUCGCCUCCGGAGGAGAGAAGGCCGUGGGCAGUGGGCUUGUCCACCGCCGCCACCAAGUUGGAAGCUGGCGCUGCAGGCUUGCCGAGGAAGGCGGAAGGGCACCGCCUAGGACCAAACUGAGAGCAACGCCGAAAAAAAGAGAGCAGAUCCGUCAGCAUCAUCCUCUCACUCGCCCGUACUGGCAGAUGACGCGUAGGUUCCCUUCUGCGCUUCCGUGAGGAGAAACAUCAGGUGAAACGCCAUCACUCGGGGCACGGGGGAUGCGUGGCGGUGAUGCAGCUUGCUGGGGUGGCAGUCGCCGGGAUGUGCUGAGGACGGCGCUGCACACUCUCAGUCUUGGCUUCACGGACGCAGCGGACAGCAACCCAUCCGUGAGGAUGCUGGCGAGCACCAACUUGACGCGGUCGUGUCCUUCCCGCGAGCCCCACCGCCUGGUGCUGCCACCGCUCGUCUGCCCAGUCGCCGUUCCAUGACCAUGCCGUCCGCGACCGACCACCACAAAUGCCCCUUCCAUCGCCACCUCUUCGCUGAGCGGCGUCACCAUCGUCCCUCUCCGCCAUCCAACACCGUGGGUUGGCUGUCCCGAUGGUCGCCCGUCUCGUCUUCCUCUGGGAGGUGCCCGGUCGCCUUCCUUGUGCAGCCGGCUAGGACAGGGUGUAUGUGAAGAGGGGGUGGUGCAGCCGAAGUGGAAGGAGGUGCGAUGGCUACGUGCGCCACCACCUUGGCCCGGGGAGGGUAGAUGCGAAGCCGUCGCUCUGAGAGGAUUUGGAUGCCGGCAGUCGGGCCUGGCAGAGAACGGGAAGGAUGGUUGUGGGAGCCGCGAUCUGGGAGAUGAACGGGGGCAUUUUAU
Molecule: ribosomal RNA, 3878 nt
Filed under: Triticum aestivum (bread wheat)
Lineage: Eukaryota; Viridiplantae; Streptophyta; Magnoliopsida; Poales; Poaceae
Description: partial small subunit ribosomal RNA
Source: RNAcentral